AAGUCCCGCAACGAGCGCAACCCUACGCUGAGUACCAGCACGUGAAGGUGGGGACUCUCAGUGGACUGCCGGCGACAAGCCGGAGGAAGGUGGGGACGACGUCAAGUCAUCAUGGCCCUCAUGUCCAGGGCGACACACGUGCUACAAUGGCCGGCACAACGGGAAGCGAAGUCGCGAGGCAGAGCGGAUCCCUUAAAGCCGGUCCCAGUUCGGAUUGCAGUCUGCAACUCGACUGCAUGAAGCCGGAAUCGCUAGUAAUCGCGGAUCAGCCAAGCCGCGGUGAAUACGUUCCCGGGCCUU
RNAcentral lists this ribosomal RNA (300 nucleotides) under uncultured Thermanaerovibrio sp. Its description in RNAcentral is "bacterial SSU rRNA". It matches the Rfam family "Bacterial small subunit ribosomal RNA", at positions 1082 to 1382 of the family's 1533-position model. The record is from RNAcentral. Lineage: Bacteria; Thermotogati; Synergistota; Synergistia; Synergistales; Synergistaceae.